RNAcentral lists this ribosomal RNA (253 nucleotides) under uncultured bacterium. Its description in RNAcentral is "partial 16S ribosomal RNA". It matches the Rfam family "Bacterial small subunit ribosomal RNA", at positions 524 to 776 of the family's 1533-position model. The record is from RNAcentral.
UACGUAGGGGGCUAGCGUUGUCCGGAUUUAUUGGGCGUAAAGAGCGUGUAGGCGGCCAGGUAGGUCCGCUGUGAAAGUCCGAGGCUCAACCUCGGAAUGUCGGCGGAAACCCUCUGGCUAGAGUCCGGAAGAGGAGAGUGGAAUUCCCGGUGUAGCGGUGAAAUGCGCAGAUAUCAGGAGGAACACCAAUUGCGAAGGCAGCUCGCUGGGACGUUACUGACGCUGAGACGCGAAAGCGUGGGGAGCAAACAGG